ACGAACGCUGGCGGCGUGCCUAAUACAUGCAAGUAGAACGCUGAAGGCGGAGCUUGCUCUUCUGGAUGAGUUGCGAACGGGUGAGUAACGCGUAGGUAACCUGCCUGGUAGCGGGGGAUAACUAUUGGAAACGAUAGCUAAUACCGCAUAACAGUAGAUGUUGCAUGACAUUUGCUUAAAAGGUGCAAUUGCAUCACUACCAGAUGGACCUGCGUUGUAUUAGCUAGUCGGUGGGGUAACGGCUCACCAAGGCGACGAUACAUAGCCGACCUGAGAGGGUGAUCGGCCACACUGGGACUGAGACACGGCCCAGACUCCUACGGGAGGCAGCAGUAGGGAAUCUUCGGCAAUGGACGGAAGUCUGACCGAGCAACGCCGCGUGAGUGAAGAAGGUUUUCGGAUCGUAAAGCUCUGUUGUAAGAGAAGAACGAGUGUGAGAGUGGAAAGUUCACACUGUGACGGUAUCUUACCAGAAAGGGACGGCUAACUACGUG
This 494-nucleotide ribosomal RNA is filed under the name uncultured bacterium. RNAcentral describes it as "partial 16S ribosomal RNA". It matches the Rfam family "Bacterial small subunit ribosomal RNA", at positions 29 to 507 of the family's 1533-position model. The record is from RNAcentral.